AUGCCUAUAUUUCUUGACCAAACUACGUGCCAGCAGUCGCGGCAAUACGUUACAGAUAAGUGUUAUUCAUCUUUAAUAGGUUUAAAGGGUACCUAGACGGUAAAUCAAGCCUUUACCAGGGACUAGUUUACUAGAGUUACUUGUGAGGGGGCAUAAAAGUACUAAGUGUGGAGAGAUAAAAUUCUUUGAUACCUUUUUUCGUAAGAAAAAUAAUGGCACUGGUAUAGGUGAAAGCAUCUUCUUAUGUGAUAACUGACGUUGAGGGACGAAGGCUUUUUAUAGCGACCAGGAUUAGAUACCCCAGUAGUAUAAGCAGAAAAUGAUGAGUGUCAUAGAUUAGAUAAAUAUUUAUUCUAUAAAUUAAAGUGUAAGCACUCCACCUCAAGAGUAAUUUGGCAACAUUGGAACUGAAAUCAUUAGACCGUUUCUGAAACCAGUAGUGAAGUAUGUUGUUUAAUUAGAUAAUACGCAAAAAACCUUACCACAAUUUGAAUAUUUACAUUUUUAUUUUAUAAUAAAGAUCUAUUUACAAGCGCUGCACGGUUGUCUUUAGUUAAUGUCGCGAGACUUUGGUUAGUUCCAUUAAAUUAACGUAAACCCAUGCUUUAUUUUUAUAUAAAGUAGCUCCCCACUAUAUUGGAUAUGAUAAUAGGGAUCAAGACAAGCCAUCAUGGCCUUAAUAUUGUGGGCUAUAGACGUGCCACAUA
RNAcentral lists this ribosomal RNA (707 nucleotides) under fungal sp. RNAcentral describes it as "SSU rRNA". It matches the Rfam family "Bacterial small subunit ribosomal RNA", at positions 480 to 1231 of the family's 1533-position model. The record is from RNAcentral. Lineage: Eukaryota; Fungi.